GCCCGGAUGGUCUAGUGGUAUGAUUCCUGCUUCGGGUCUUGGAAUGCAGGAGGCCCCGCGUUCGAAUCGCGGUUCGGGCC
RNAcentral lists this transfer RNA (80 nucleotides) under Aspergillus costaricaensis CBS 115574. RNAcentral describes it as "tRNA-Pro". It matches the Rfam family "tRNA". From Rfam's summary of the family: Transfer RNA (tRNA) molecules are approximately 80 nucleotides in length. Their secondary structure includes four short double-helical elements and three loops (D, anti-codon, and T loops). Further hydrogen bonds mediate the characteristic L-shaped molecular structure. tRNAs have two regions of fundamental functional importance: the anti-codon, which is responsible for specific mRNA codon recognition, and the 3' end, to which the tRNAs corresponding amino acid is attached (by aminoacyl-tRNA synthetases). tRNAs cope with the degeneracy of the genetic code in two manners: having more than one tRNA (with a specific anti-codon) for a particular amino acid; and 'wobble' base-pairing, i.e. permitting non-standard base-pairing at the 3rd anti-codon position. Lineage: Eukaryota; Fungi; Ascomycota; Eurotiomycetes; Eurotiales; Aspergillaceae. The record is from RNAcentral.